This is a long non-coding RNA of Stegostoma tigrinum, 2318 nucleotides long. RefSeq lists it as uncharacterized. NCBI's taxonomy places the organism in Eukaryota, Metazoa, Chordata, Chondrichthyes, Orectolobiformes, Stegostomatidae. The record is from RefSeq and is a predicted model, not a curated record. The transcript has 3 exons.
AGCAAUUUCAUCUAGAGACUCCAUAAAAUGUGGAGUUUUCUCAGUGACAGACCUGGUCCCCUUAAAACUGAUUCAUCCAUCGAUUGUUAUUCCCUGCCUAGGAGUGAAAUGCAUUCCAAAUUUGACGAGUUCGUGGAGUACAUCUGUCGGAACUGGUAACAAAUACAAACAAGUAAAGGGAAGAAAUGAUAGAGGAGGGGUGGGAGGAUAGCGGACCCCCCCACCUGCUUUAUCUGCAGCUACUCCUACCCCGACAUCCAGUCCUGAAGAAGGACAGCAUGGUGGAAGGCCUUAUUGAGAAGGUCAGUUGGAGGAGGAGGUCCUACUUGCGUCUGGUGGAAGCAUGCUGUCAAGACAACUAGGAGCAGAAGCCAAGAAGCCCACAUUAGCUGCUUUUAAUGGAAUGGUGAUAUGGUCAUGUCAUUGUUUCUAGUAUGGGGAUGAGCAAAAUUAGAAAGAAUUUUGAUUUUGAUUGCAAUCCAUACAUUACAUCUGAAAAUUAUGUGUGUAUAAACAUUGACAGCAGAAUUAAGCUGAGACUGACUAGACAGAAGAUGAGACAGUAGUUGGCGGACGUGUAAACAAGUUGGCAUGUAUUGUUUUGAAGGAAAUACUUCUAAUAUGGAGAUCUUGUUCACUAUAACAUUUGGCAUACUGUUGUGAACCAGUGUUCAUGAGAAACUGGCAACAGAGAUCUCAAACUUUUUUUUACAAAUAACAGAGUCAGAUUCAUAAACAAUUGACAUGGUUAUGUUUUUAUCAUGGAAAGUACAGUAAUAUAGUUUGUAUGCCUAUUGCCACAAUCUCUGAUUUAUUAUUGUCACAUGUACCUAGGUACAUUGAACAGUUUGUUUUGCGUGCAGUACAGGCAAAUCACACCAUAUAAAGUGCAUUAAGGUAGUAGAAUAGAGUGAAAAGUACAAUGGUAUGGCUGUAGAUAAGGUGUAGAAAGAGAAAGACCAAUAUUAAAUUUAAAAUUUGAGGCCAAUUCGGAAGUCUAAUAACAGUGGGGGAGACGCUAUUCUUGAAUCUUUUUUGCAUGUGUUUCAACUAUUGCAUCUUCUGCACAAUGCAAGACGUUGGAAGAGGCUAUUACUGGGUGGGAAGGGUGUUUGAUUAGGUUGGCUGCCUUCCUGAGGCAGCAAGAAGUAUAAAUGAAGUCAACAGAUAGAAAGUUGGCUUGCGUAUGAACUGGACUUUUAUCACAACUCUCUGCAGUUUUUUGUGGUCCUGGGAACAGCAGUUGCCAUACCAAGCCAUGAUGCAUCCAGACAGAUCAGGGCUUCAUUGAGUACAAUAAAAAGAAAUAUAUCAGACAGUUGGUUUUGAAAUUGUAAUGUUACCACUGUAAUACAUCCAAGUUUUACUAGUGGGCCAGUAAAUUCUGAGCUCUCACAUGAAAAAUGGCCAUGUACUGCAACAAUCAGCUACCCAUUUGGCUGGAAUUUGAAUGGAGGAGACAGUUACCAAGAUGGCCACAUCACUUUUUCUUGAGUUGUCUCAAAUUGGAAGCACUUGUUUAAACAGCUGCUUUGUUUCCAAUGUAAAGAUAUACCUUUUUUUUCAAGGUGACUUUCCAGAUGCCCCCAAGACUUGUGGGGUCCAUCUUUAUUUUGUCUGCAGCUAGCAACCAUCAAUUUAUUGCAUAUAUUUGUCUCCAUAGGUUUACCUGAUCCAACUUAUUCAAUGAAAUGGAACCUCUUGUUGUAAGAUAGAGAAGUCCAUUUAUUCCUUUAUCAUGCUGAUGUGUCUCUCAAAUGGCAGCUAAAAUUGGAAUUUUGCAUUCUGGAAAUCUCUAGAAAUAUCAGAGGCCCAGGAGUCGAGAUCUCCAUACUUUCUGUCAUGGUGGGAGUUAGGAUGGGGACUUUUCCACUGACGGGAUUACAGAGGGAAACUGUUAAGAUGUUUACCCUUCAUUUCCAAUACACAUAUGGAUAGAUUCUCCAGUGACUGCUCCCAAAACUGAAACACGCACAGAGAAUUCCCUGAAGUGGAUGUGCCAUGUUUUGUGUGACAUGCCAACAGGCUGUCUGCAUUUUUACUGUCUACAACACUUGAACUUCAGCCAAAAAAAAACCCAAAGCUGUCAGUCCUUUUUGUUAUUGUCAAACAAAACAUUGGUAAAACACUAAUUAUAUGGAGUGGACCUAGAUCAUCUGUUCUAUGAAUACAUUAUUAUGUUAGUAUGAAUGAAUGUGUAACUAAAUUAAUAUUGCAAAUGUGAGACGAAUUGCUGCGUUUUAAUCUAGAUCUAAAAAUUGCACAGAAAACCCUUUAUAAAGAAAUAUAAUGUACCAAGUGGCUUUGGUAACUUUUGC